Molecule: ribosomal RNA, 229 nt
Filed under: uncultured bacterium
Lineage: Bacteria
Description: partial 16S ribosomal RNA
Rfam family: Bacterial small subunit ribosomal RNA
Source: RNAcentral
GGCGUAGGUGGGAAUGUAAGCCAGAUGUGAAAUCCCGGGGCUCAACCCCGGAACUGCAUUUGGAACUACAUUUCUUGAGGGUAGACGGAGAAAACGGAAUUCCACAUGUAGCGGUGAAAUGCGUAGAUAUGUGGAAGAACACCGGUGGCGAAGGCGGUUUUCUAGUUUAUUCCUGACACUGAGGCCCGAAAGCUAGGGGAGCGAACAGGAUUAGAUACCCUGGUAGUCC